This 330-nucleotide ribosomal RNA is filed under the name uncultured eukaryote. RNAcentral's name for it is "partial 18S ribosomal RNA". It matches the Rfam family "Eukaryotic small subunit ribosomal RNA", at positions 1470 to 1796 of the family's 1831-position model. The record is from RNAcentral.
CCCUUAGAUGUUCUGGGCCGCACGCGCGCUACACUGAUGCAUUCAACGAGUCUAAAACCUGGUCUGAUAGGGCUGGGUAAUCUUUUGAAUGUGCAUCGUGAUUGGGAUAGAUGAUUGCAAUUCUUCAUCUUCAACGAGGAAUGCCUAGUAAACGCAAGUCAUCAGCUUGCAUUGAUUACGUCCCUGCCCUUUGUACACACCGCCCGUCGCUCCUACCGAUUGAAUGUUCCGAUGAAUACCAUGGACUGAGAGUAUGAAUGGGUUCGCCUAUUUCUGCUUCUCGGGAAGUGGAGUAAAUCUUACCAUUUAGAGGAAGGAGAAGUCGUAACA